This 1970-nucleotide ribosomal RNA is filed under the name Salmonella enterica subsp. enterica serovar Typhi str. 404ty. RNAcentral's name for it is "partial 23S ribosomal RNA". It matches the Rfam family "Bacterial large subunit ribosomal RNA", at positions 437 to 2290 of the family's 2925-position model. The record is from RNAcentral. Lineage: Bacteria; Pseudomonadati; Pseudomonadota; Gammaproteobacteria; Enterobacterales; Enterobacteriaceae.
UCUGAAUAUGGGGGGACCAUCCUCCAAGGCUAAAUACUCCUGACUGACCGAUAGUGAACCAGUACCGUGAGGGAAAGGCGAAAAGAACCCCGGCGAGGGGAGUGAAAAAGAACCUGAAACCGUGUACGUACAAGCAGUGGGAGCCCCACCACUAAGCCAGUGGUGAACUCCACAUACGCAUCCUUUGCUGAGGAGACGGUUAACGGAGCGAAAGCGACGUUCAACCUCAAAAGAAGCAGAGGGGGCUUAGUGGUGGGGUGACUGCGUACCUUUUGUAUAAUGGGUCAGCGACUUAUAUUCUGUAGCAAGGUUAACUGUAUAGGGGAGCCGGAGGGAAACCGAGUCUUAACCGGGCGUUAAGUUGCAGGGUAUAGACCCGAAACCCGGUGAUCUAGCCAUGGGCAGGUUGAAGGUUGGGUAACACUAACUGGAGGACCGAACCGACUAAUGUUGAAAAAUUAGCGGAUGACCUGUGGCUGGGGGUGAAAGGCCAAUCAAACCGGGAGAUAGCUGGUUCUCCCCGAAAGCUAUUUAGGUAGCGCCUCGUGAAUUCAUCUCCGGGGGUAGAGCACUGUUUCGGCUAGGGGGCCAUCCCGGCUUACCAACCCGAUGCAAACUGCGAAUACCGGAGAAUGUUAUCACGGGAGACACACGGCGGGUGCUAAUGUCCGUCGUGAAGAGGGAAACAACCCAGACCGCCAGCUAAGGUCCCAAAGUCAUGGUUAAGUGGGAAACGAUGUGGGAAGGCCCAGACAGCCAGGAUGUUGGCUUAGAAGCAGCCAUCAUUUAAAGAAAGCGUAAUAGCUCACUGGUCGAGUCGGCCUGCGCGGAAGAUGUAACGGGGCUAAACCAUGCACCGAAGCUGCGGCAGCGACACCGUGUGUUGUUGGGUAGGGGAGCGUUCUGUAAGCCUGUGAAGGUGUGCUGUGAGGCAUGCUGGAGGUAUCAGAAGUGCGAAUGCUGACAUAAGUAACGAUAAAGCGGGUGAAAAGCCCGCUCGCCGGAAGACCAAGGGUUCCUGUCCAACGUUAAUCGGGGCAGGGUGAGUCGACCCCUAAGGCGAGGCCGAAAGGCGUAGUCGAUGGGAAACGGGUUAAUAUUCCCGUACUUGGUGUUACUGCGAAGGGGGGACGGAGAAGGCUAUGUUGGCCGGGCGACGGUUGUCCCGGUUUAAGCGUGUAGGUAUGUGUUCCAGGUAAAUCCGGUUCACUUUAACACUGAGGCGUGACGACGAGGCACUACGGUGCUGAAGCAACAAAUGCCCUGCUUCCAGGAAAAGCCUCUAAGCAUCAGGUAACAUCAAAUCGUACCCCAAACCGACACAGGUGGUCAGGUAGAGAAUACCAAGGCGCUUGAGAGAACUCGGGUGAAGGAACUAGGCAAAAUGGUGCCGUAACUUCGGGAGAAGGCACGCUGACACGUAGGUGAAGUGAUUUACUCACGGAGCUGAAGUCAGCCGAAGAUACCAGCUGGCUGCAACUGUUUAUUAAAAACACAGCACUGUGCAAACACGAAAGUGGACGUAUACGGUGUGACGCCUGCCCGGUGCCGGAAGGUUAAUUGAUGGGGUCAGCGCAAGCGAAGCUCCUGAUCGAAGCCCCGGUAAACGGCGGCCGUAACUAUAACGGUCCUAAGGUAGCGAAAUUCCUUGUCGGGUAAGUUCCGACCUGCACGAAUGGCGUAAUGAUGGCCAGGCUGUCUCCACCCGAGACUCAGUGAAAUUGAACUCGCUGUGAAGAUGCAGUGUACCCGCGGCAAGACGGAAAGACCCCGUGAACCUUUACUAUAGCUUGACACUGAACAUUGAGCCUUGAUGUGUAGGAUAGGUGGGAGGCUUUGAAGUGUGGACGCCAGUCUGCAUGGAGCCGACCUUGAAAUACCACCCUUUAAUGUUUGAUGUUCUAACGUGGACCCGUGAUCCGGGUUGCGGACAGUGUCUGGUGGGUAGUUUGACUGGGGCGGUCUCCUCC